GGAGGAAAGCAGGGGAUCGCAAGACCUUGCGCUUUUGGAGUGGCCGAUGCCUGAUUAGCUAGUUGGUAGGGUAAUGGCUUACCAAGGCGACGAUCAGUAGUUGGUCUGAGAGGACGACCAGCCACACUGGGACUGAGACACGGCCCAGACUCCUACGGGAGGCAGCAGUGGGGAAUUUUGGACAAUGGGCGAAAGCCUGAUCCAGCAAUGCCGCGUGAGUGAAGAAGGCCUUCGGGUUGUAAAGCUCUUUCAGUCGAGAAGAAAAGGUUGUGACUAAUAAUCACAACUCAUGACGGUAUCGACAGAAGAAGCACCGGCUAACUACGUGCCAGCAGCCGCGGUAAUACGUAGGGUGCGAGCGUUAAUCGGAAUUACUGGGCGUAAAGGGUGCGCAGGCGGCUUUGUAAGUCAGAUGUGAAAUCCCCGGGCUUAACCUGGGAAU
Molecule: ribosomal RNA, 442 nt
Filed under: uncultured ammonia-oxidizing beta proteobacterium
Lineage: Bacteria; Pseudomonadati; Pseudomonadota; Betaproteobacteria
Description: bacterial SSU rRNA
Rfam family: Bacterial small subunit ribosomal RNA
Source: RNAcentral